Molecule: long non-coding RNA, 666 nt
Filed under: Vulpes vulpes (red fox)
Lineage: Eukaryota; Metazoa; Chordata; Mammalia; Carnivora; Canidae
Description: lncRNA (ENSVVUG00000017419.1)
Source: RNAcentral
GGCUCUUGAUACAGAUUUCUCAUUUGCAGAAAUUCUAAUGCAGUUGAAUCAAUGUAAAACCAGCUUGUGUAAUUCUCUAGGGAGAUUGCCUCCAUGGAGUGACCCAGAAUCCAGGAUGCUUUCAUCUUGUGGAUCUACUUCAUGAUCUCCAUGAUUACUCACAAAAGGAAAGAGAACAUAAAGAUACACACCAGGUUUGAAUGCCUCAAAAUAAGAAGCAACACAACUUGCUCUGCUCAUAAUUUUGGGCUGUAGUCAUGUGACCCCAUCUAACUCCACAGGGGCUUGGAAGGAAGUCUUCACAUGUACCCAGGAAGAGGAAGAGGCCGGGCAUGGUGGUCCCAGCCAUCUUUGCCGUAUGUGGUCCCAGUGUGCCUGUAGGAUGAGAUGGAAGUAGAAUGUGGUAAACACGCAGCAUUGCCCCAACCAUGAGGAAUUCCUCUUUUCCUCUCAGUAAUUGACCAUUCUCUGAAAUCAGUGCCCUAAUGAACCUGUGUCCUGGUGUGUUCUCUGUCUCCUCCCACCAGAAAUCCUCUGGAAUAGGAAGCCGACUGACUUGGGUUCAAAUCGUGACUGUCACUUUCUUAAACUUGGACAAAUUAAUCAACUUAUCUCUGCCACCAUCUGUUUUCUUCACUUGUAAAGUAGGUAUAAAAAAAGGGUACU